GACGAACGCUGGCGGCGUGCCUAAUACAUGCAAGUAGAACGCUGAAGCUUGGUGCUUGCACCGAGCGGAUGAGUUGCGAACGGGUGAGUAACGCGUAGGUAACCUGCCUGGUAGCGGGGGAUAACUAUUGGAAACGAUAGCUAAUACCGCAUAAUAGUAGAUGUUGCAUGACAUUUGCUUAAAAGGUGCAAUUGCAUCACUACCAGAUGGACCUGCGUUGUAUUAGCUAGUUGGUGAGGUAACGGCUCACCAAGGCAACGAUACAUAGCCGACCUGAGAGGGGGAUCGGCCACACUGGGACUGAGACACGGCCCAGACUCCUACGGGAGGCAGCAGUAGGGAAUCUUCGGCAAUGGACGGAAGUCUGACCGAGCAACGCCGCGUGAGUGAAGAAGGUUUUCGGAUCGUAAAGCUCGGUUGUAAGAGAAGAACGAGUGUGAGAGUGGAAAGUUCACACUGUGACGGUAUCUUACCAGAAAGGGACGGCUAACUACGUG
This 497-nucleotide ribosomal RNA is filed under the name uncultured bacterium. RNAcentral's name for it is "partial 16S ribosomal RNA". It matches the Rfam family "Bacterial small subunit ribosomal RNA", at positions 28 to 507 of the family's 1533-position model. The record is from RNAcentral.